CCUGCAUUUGUUGGAGAUGAAGG
This 23-nucleotide non-coding RNA is filed under the name Arabidopsis thaliana (thale cress). Lineage: Eukaryota; Viridiplantae; Streptophyta; Magnoliopsida; Brassicales; Brassicaceae. The record is from RNAcentral.